Molecule: long non-coding RNA, 277 nt
Organism: Cyprinus carpio carpio
Lineage: Eukaryota; Metazoa; Chordata; Actinopteri; Cypriniformes; Cyprinidae
Source: Ensembl
AUGAAAGUAAAUUCCGAUGUACCGAUGCCAGUGGACUAGCCUAGACAAAUAGUGGCAGAGUCUGGGAGGACACCUGGGAGCCGGCCAGCAAAUUCGCCUGAUGACCAAUACUGUUGUACUAUUUGUUUUGUAUAUAUUUGUCAAUAAUUAAAUUCACUAUUGUUACAUUUUAUGAUUUGUCUGUCAAUCAAUGACUGCACUGAAUAAUUAAUGUGUCAUGACUUUGUGCUGUAUUUGGAAAAGUUAAAUAGCUGAAAGUUGCAUGUAGUGACAGUCA